CGGCUAACAUUUACGGAAGGGGAACUAGACGCUUCCGUCCUUGAUUGUGCCUGCCCUGGGCUGCCUCCUCCCACCUCACUGUCCCAGGGUCGGCUCCUGCUCUUCAGGAAAGAGCAAUGAAGCAACAAAUACAAAAUGGCCAGGAGCCACAAGACGUGAACGGUUCCAUUGAAAUCAUCCAUGCAAUCGGCCAAUGCUUUCUUUCAGAUACAGUAGCUCUUGUAAUUUGUUUAUGUUAUAUCAAUGAUUCUGGGGUCUUCCAAUUUAUUCCAGAGUCAAUCUAGCAAAACUGAUGUCAUAUUCAGAAUCAGCAACUUUGGCAUUAUACUGGCGCUAAACCAAAGGAAAACAGAAGGAGAACAUUCUACCCAAAAUCAGGAAUACUGAAGGACUGCAAACAUCAAAUCAAUAUCUGCAGCCUUUCUACAUCAGAGUCAUAAUGUAUAUAAGGGAGCCUGGAACACAGUCUCAAUAAAUGCUGAAGGCAGAAAUUGGCUCAUUCUGAAUACUCUUCCACAACUGAGCCAAGUCACCAGGCUCUGUUGAUUCUUGGAACUGAAAUCAAGCUGCUUAUGGUUUCUCUAGAUCAGGUCUUCCAAAAUAUUACGAAUGCCCUCAUCACUGCCAAGAUUUUUGCUAAGUAAAUUACCGAGAUGACACUUUGAAGAAAAAACGGCAUCUCGGUCAAAAUCGGGACCUUAGUAAAUAUACCCCCCUGAGUUUGAAGGAUGGAACCUGCAGUGCUUGAAUAAUAUUCUGCCCAUAAUGGAUUUGGCCAAAAAAUGUUUCUGGCAUCGGCAUCAAUUGGAAUCCCGACGCUGGAAUCCUGACCGCCGACAUCCCAAACAUGCAGAAUAUGGCAGGAGAACUGCAGAUGACAACUUGAUUGGGCUUUCCGAGACUAGUAACCCCUUGCCUGCCAGAGCCUUCCAAAACCCAUGCAACAUCCUUUUUGAUUUAUCCAGAUUUUUAACACCAAGAAGUUAAAUUUCCCAGCACAUAUCAAAGAAGGGGAGGGGAAUAUUACACUCCGUGUCAUUAUUCAUGAAGUGCUGAAGGAUAGCGCGAAUGUCAUCCGAGGGACAGGUAAAAGUUUGGUUGCAGAUGGCUGCACAGUAAGACAUUAAGGAACACAAGACUUGAAGGAAGCAGGCGGUUCAUUGACUGCCUGUCACACAACGAUGCACAGCUGAAAUUCAAAUCACAUUAAAUGGCUUCCAAAAUUGCUCAUAAAGUUGGGAAAGCAGACCGGACGCGGAGGUAUAAUUCUAGUGGAGAAAACACCUGACUUCUCCAAGGUUGACAUUUCCAUCAAGCUUGGCGAAUAAAGAGCCUUUUAUUGCUCAAGCAACAAGCUGGGUUACUAAUAGGAAUCUUACGCUCAAUGCCACACAUUUACCUAACAAUAACAUAGUCCAUGUAAGCAGAGAAUUACUUUCUAUCUGUCCACAUGCGCCUUUCUACAGCCUGCUACAGUUCUCAUUAAAAAUAGUAUGCUUUAGCGACAGAUAUUCAAGAGAUGGUGAAUCUCUUUUUUUCAGAUUUAAAAGGAGGAUGUCAUGUUUAAUCAAGAGACGUAAAAUGUGAGCAUCAGAAUUUUUUUUAUUUAUUUUCUAUUUAUUCAAGAUUUUUUUCAUGUAUUUGUGCAAAGCAAGAAAUUCGAGAUGGGGCAUAGGAGUAAGGGAGACACUUAAGGUUGGAUGUUGGGGUUUGUAGGGUAUCUUGACCAUGCCACUCUAUACGAUGCAAACUGUAAGACACAGAGAACGUGUAUUUUGUAGACCUUUUAAAAGAGAAUAGAAUAGCAGGAAUGGCUGAUAAACGGAAUGGAGCCCGGCAUGUUUUGUUUUUUUCUAAUUUAGGAUUAGAAUCUACAGCAGGCAUUCCC
Molecule: long non-coding RNA, 1888 nt
Organism: Pseudophryne corroboree (corroboree frog)
Lineage: Eukaryota; Metazoa; Chordata; Amphibia; Anura; Myobatrachidae
Exons: 7
Source: RefSeq, a predicted model, not a curated record